UGGGAUAUAGCUGGAAGGACAAGCAAGAGACUGUUAAUCUCUAGAUGAGGGUUCAAUUCCCUCUAUCCCAG
Molecule: transfer RNA, 71 nt
Filed under: Crassvirales sp.
Lineage: Duplodnaviria; Heunggongvirae; Uroviricota; Caudoviricetes; Crassvirales
Description: tRNA-Asn
Rfam family: tRNA
About the family: Transfer RNA (tRNA) molecules are approximately 80 nucleotides in length.
Source: RNAcentral